RNAcentral lists this ribosomal RNA (659 nucleotides) under uncultured bacterium. Its description in RNAcentral is "bacterial SSU rRNA". It matches the Rfam family "Bacterial small subunit ribosomal RNA", at positions 232 to 885 of the family's 1533-position model. The record is from RNAcentral.
CGCGGCCUAUCAGCUUGUUGGUGGUGUAACGGACCACCAAGGCGACGACGGGUAGCGGGCCUGAGAGGGUGGCCCGUCACACCGGGACUGAGACACUGCCCAGACUCCUACGGGAGGCUGCAGUCGAGAAUCUUCCGCAAUGGACGCAAGUCUGACGGAGCGACGCCGCGUGUAGGACGAAGGCCCUUGGGUUGUAAACUACUGUCACGAGUCAUGAAUGGGUAGGCAUUAAUAGCGCCUGCAUUGACGUAAGCUCGAGAGGAAGCACCGGCUAACUCUGUGCCAGCAGCCGCGGUAACACAGAGGGUGCAAACGUUGUUCGGAAUCACUGGGCAUAAAGCGCACGUAGGCGGCUUGGUAAGUGUGAAGUGAAAGCCCACGGCUCACCCGUGGAAUUGCUUUGCAUACUGCCUGGCUCGAGGACGGUAGGGGAGAGCAGAACUCCUGGAGGAGCGGUGAAAUGCGUAGAUAUCAGGAGGAAUACCAGUGGCGAAGGCGGCUCUCUGGUCCGUUUCUGACGCUGAGGUGCGAAAGCUAGGGUAGCGAACGGGAUUAGAUACCCCGGUAGUCCUAGCCGUAAACGAUGGGCACUAGCUAGAGGUCUCCUGUUUGAUCUCUGGUGAAGCAAAUGUGUUAAGUGCCCCGCCUGGGGAGUACGG